UCGGCUCUGUACAUCGAACAGAACAUGAUCGCAAUUCUGAAUCUUCUAACCCUAACCCCAAUCCUAACCCGACAGACGAUGACAUUUCACAGCCAUAAGGAAUAACCAAUCAGAGCCAAGCACUUCUAGCCAAUCAGAGGCGAAAGAGGGUGGGACCUCUUUUGUAGGACCAUCAUCAUCAUCAUGUACAUCCAACAGAACGUUAUCGCUCAUCUGAAGCUCAUAACUCUACCCCUAAUCCUUAUCCUAAUUUUAAUCCUAGCCCUAACUCUAACCCUAACCCGACGGACGAUGACGAUUCACAGCCGUAAGGCAUAAACCAAUCGGAGCUCAGCACUUCUAGCCAAUCAGAGGCGAAGGAGGGCGGGACCUUUCCCUAUCAUCCUACAAAAGUAAAAGUUCGCGACCCGGACAUUGUUCCCUGGAAGUCAUCCUUUUUUGUCACCUAAUGAACAUAAGUCCAAUAAACUUUCUCCUCAGACACAACACCUAGAUCUAAACUCACAGAACUAGCUUCUGUAAAAAGCAACUUAAUGGAAAAGAAUUGUUGGCAGAUUUGAUGUUCGUUAAAAAAAGUUUUAAAAUGUUUGUUUUCCCUUGAUAACAAGAGAUGAACUGAAUAGAUAAGGCCUUGGGGUUUCCAUGAUGUAGUUUAUCUGUAAUCAUUACCUGAUGACUCACACUGUCAGGUAGCACUAUAAAACGAUAAGGAUUUCUGGACCACAAAUAAAGAGCCAAGACGUGUUUUAUGGAUACACACAAAUUUGAGGACACACAUCAGCACUGGGCUGGCUUACAAAAUGGAAAAGUUUGACACGUCUGCCACCCUGACCAUUACAGAAAAUUACCCUCAUGUCAGUACAACCAUAUCAACACAACACUGUUCAAAUAAAUGCUCCCUAAAAUCCAUUGACAAGUACAACAACAGACGCCGACCCUGUUUAUCAGUGUGCUUACACAAAUCUAGUACGUCCAAACAAACUAAUGAAGCGUUGUAAAUUCCUUCAAUGGAAAAUACAUGAUUUUUUCCUCACUGUCCAUUCUUGCAUGUUUAUCCAGUGAGAAGCCAAACAAAUUGAAACGAUUUGUAAAUAUAAACAGUAGAGACACAAUGCUCUUUGUGGUUUCUCAUUUCCUCCCCUCUUUUUGCACACUCCUAAAGCGUGGCUGAACUCUGUUUGUACACUGUGGUUUUAUUCACACAUGGGUGUGGACCCCUACUCUGAUGGCAGAAUAUUUACAUGUAUUUUUCCACAAAGCAGCAGAAGUUUAAAAAGCUGUACGAUCAGUUGGCCCAUCUUGAUUUGCUUUCAUCUCUCUCCACCUUGUGGUGUUUUUCCUUUAAAGCAGUUUACGUUUAUUGCCUCUUGUAGUGCCACUGAUCGCCACCAGAGGUCAGGACAACACAUGGAAUAUUUCACUGCUUAAACUACUAUGAGAAAUGAAUGAUGCUCUUUGUUUUUGGCUUUUGCAUUUAAAAGCUUGGCUUAGCAUUUCUCCUCUUUCUCCUUCACCACUUUUUGCUGGACUGUGCAGAUUAUAUAGGCGAAAUUCAUACGUACACAAUAACUAACACACAUGACCACAUUGAAAGGGGCAGACAGAAUGGGAGGUGUCAGGUGCUGUCAAACCUCGUGCACUUGUGAAUAAUAGACCUGUUAUGAUCAUGCUAUGCUGUGCCUGUGUUUAAACACUGACCAUUGUUUCAGCACAUGUAACCCACCUGCUAGUCUUGUAGUUGUUUUUAAAUACCUGUCUCUCCUCAGAUUCCAGGUUUUGAGCAGAUGGGAUCAACAGUGAGGAGUUAUGAGAGUGAGCCUUUUAUGAGGGAUGAUUUAUUUCUGUUUCCAAACAUCGUUAGUCAGUUUCAGUUCCAUGUCCUCUUUACAGUGCCGCACUUUUUUGCAUUUUUUUUUGAGUUCGCCUGGCUUGGAAACAAGCUCGAUUUGACAACAGUUUGACAUUGGCGUGUGCAGAUCCAGCUGAGGCAGUGCAGAGUUAUGUGGUUGAUUUGGUGUGGAGGUGUUGAUGGUGCAAACCAAACAAAAAUAGAUGCAGGGUGUUUGUCAGAAACAGGAGCAAGCGCAUUGGCACGCUUUACAUAACCUUUAGGUCAAGGUGAUGACCCUCCAUACUGUCUGCCAAUGUUUACAAAGAAGUCAAGGACAUUAAGGCAAUAUCAAAAUGUCCUUUACACCUAUCUGCAUUCUGCUUGAAUCAAGUAACAAAGUACAUGAAACUUUUGACCACCCACCCAGCUAUAUAUAUGCAAUAUUGUGAGUAUCAAGAAGCAUUUGCUAAUUCUUAUUAUGAAGAGUUACCAUAUGAAUUAAAAUCCAUUUCCCUUUUGUUUGCUACAUUACAGAAAAUAAAGGAGCUCAGGUAUGAUGAAUCUGAGCCUAUGAUCAACCUCCCAACUCAAGUUUUGUACAGUUUUUGGAAUCAACCCUUAUUAGUUGCAGUUGUACAAAACAAAAACUUCCUAAAUACUCUCCCAAGAAAAACUUUAGGAUACUUUACCAAGUAUUCACAUAAUUGAUGGAUUAGGAGAUUGAGUGCCAAACCAGAGUUGCUGUUGAAAGAUUCCCCUGCAGACUACUUUUUCCAGAUACGCCAAACACCAGGAAAUCUGGCAGUAGCUGAGCUAAAGAGAAUUUAAAAAAAACAUACAGCAUACCAAAGCAGAGGCUGUAACACUCAACCAAAACUGCUUGGUCACGCCUACACAGUUGAAAUACCAAAUAGGUAACUUCCUCAUUGUAGUUUGAGUAAUAACACAUUAGACAUCCGGCCCAGCUCACACAACUACUUCUAGAACUUGAGUCCAGCUGGUCUGUUUCUGAACAACACUUAAACAUUUUCCUGUUUUUUUAUUUUCUGAACUAUUUCUCCAUCCCUGGGGUGGUGAUGGAAAAAGCCUCAUAGAUGUUGUAGUCUGUAUCAGCUCUCUAUGAAUACCUGUUGCUAGAUAACUCGGUCAGAAUUAACUGUUGUAAUUAUUUCGUUUCUCAGCCUGUAAAAGGAUAAGAUUUCAUUGUGUAUUUGCAUCAUGAAGUGGAUUAUACCCCACAGGAUUCAGUGUAUUUGACACCCUUCCUUCAACAUCGAGCAGAAUUGCAUCAUAUGGAUGAAGUACAAUGAUGCAAGCUUUCAAACUAUUGCAGUAUAUGUUUAACUUCUAUUAGCUUUAUGACUACGCUGUCCUUUGUGUCAGUGUGUAAAUAGUGUGUGUUGGUUCAGUGACUGCUGCUGGCCAACUCACACUAUUUGCAGGUUUGGCUUGACUCCACCAACCAUGAACUCCAAAUGUCCUCAACACUUUUAUGUCUUUAUUUCACAUCUUUCAGUCUCAUUAGUUAGUAUUUUAGUAUCAAAUAUAUAUCAUCAUAUAAUUUUCUAAGGUGGUAUUAAACAACCUACUGAUUGGGUUUAAUUAGAUCUCUAACAUGAAAACCUAAUAAUUUUAGAGGUGUUAAAGCUCCAUUGAGUAGUUUUUGAUUGGGGAUGAAAAAGACUGAAAUGAACAGUGACGUAUCUUUAUGAUGUACAAAAGCUAAUAAGAUUAUCAGCUACAAGAUUGACGAAUUUUAUAUUGUUAUUUGUAAUACCAGUAACUGCUGUGAGGCGGUAGGUACGCUGAAGAAAAAACUGUUCUAGAAGCAAAAUCUCCCCGGGAGUUGUCAGGUUUACUGUAAAAAUCAACAGACAGUGUUUUUUGGCAAUUAACUUCUCUUUCAGAAGUUCAAGAUAAAACUAGCAGUGAUAGAAGGGUUAGUACUUCAUCCACAGGGGGCGCCAAAAUCAAAACAAACAGAAAGUUCUGUACAGGAGCUUUAAAGGAUAAAGUAUUGUCAGGUAUUCCCCUUUUGCACUUUGCUGUUGUUUAUAGUCUGAUCACCAACUUGUAGGAUAAAUUAGAUUACAGAGACUACAUCCAAGUUCGGAUUUAUAAGAUGUAUUUCGUUGAAGACUGUGAAUAGAGUUUCAAAAUGAUUAAAUUGGAGUACUGUUAGAUUGUAAUGGUUGGAUACUGGUAUUACAGGUGACACGCUCCUCCACAAAGUCUUUUCAUGUGUCCAAUCAAAACAUGUAAGACUGCCGAUAGAAACCCAAGAGAUAACUUAUCAAAAAAAUAAUAAUAAAAACUCUAAGGAAGUUAUAAAGUUGGUGACUUGCACUACUUGCCGAUGUUGAAAGACACUGGAUUAGAGAGGAGCUCUAUGUUCCAAAAACUCUGGCAGUUUGGUCCUCCAGCAGGGUGGUCUAAGAGAGCCUGAGCCAGCCUUCACAUUUAGUUAAACAGAGAGCUGUAAGCCUGGUGCCUCCUGGACCCUUAAGUAGAUGAAUCGGUAAUCUGUAUAGUCAAAGGUCUGGAUAACUAAAGCCUAUCCUUCAUACUUCAAGCAGGCCUGCGCUAUUUGUGACCAUUGAGAGCUUUGGAUUUAAGGAGAUGAAGGUUUCUGACGUGAAACAAAAGAACAGCAAAUAUUAAAAGGGCAAAUUAGAAAACUGAACCACAGAGGUCUCUUGUGUCAGGGUAAACAAAGCUGUUUGACUUAAGAAAGAUGCCUUGGGAAGAAGUUGCACUACCUGAUUUGCAUGGUAUUCAACAAUGCAGGGGAGUGCUAUUAUUGUUAACUAUUUACAGCCAAUAAUGAUAUAUACACACCCUGCAGCAAGAAGGCGUCACCUUUCCUGUUACUGUCUUUAUGUCACAUUUCAGACUACUGGCUUUAGCUCUGCAUGGGUCAUUCCACCACAAGUUCUCAUAAGUUGUCAGUGCUUACAGUUUAUGUUGUGUUGAGUGAUUGCUCUGUCUCUCACACACACAUACAAACAAAUACACUCAGGUUUUAAAAUGAGAGCCACUUCUCGCUCAGGAAAUUUGAUGUCUGGCUUCAGCUUUGCCUCGAUGACCUCGGUGCGUGAAUGUGUGUAGGUCUUUCCGAAGCCGAGUCCCAGAAAUGCUGAAAUUCACCAGAUUAUACCAUGAAAUCUGUAGUUUGUGCAAUAUUGCUUGGACUGCUAAUUCCUGUCGUGUUCUUCGUAAUCCUGUCUACGUCUGUGUGCUUAUUUUUCUCCUUCACCUUUCUUUUGCUUUUGCCUUGACUCACCUGGUUUUUGACAAUCUUUCCACCCAUUUCAUUGGCAUGAUCCGUAUGAUCUGAAUAAUUUCACAUCCCAACUGCAGUGCUAAAUAUGCAAGAAUAGUAGAGUGCCUAAAAAAAACUGCAACUUUUCUGAAAACUAAACGAUUGUUAAGCUACUUUUUCUUGCUUGUAAAUCUUGUUCCAGCUUCUCAAAUAUUAGUUAGAUGCUUUUACUUUUCUUACGUAAACUGAAUACCUGUUGGUUUUAGAGAACUUACUGACAAGACAACUGAGAGGCACUUUAGGCAGAUCAAAGUUUAAACAGAUGUUUUUCUGUACAAAUUAUUGGAGAUACACUUUUGCUCGUUGUUACACUAUUAGGUCUGCAUGAGCAACACAUUUUUAACCUCUUUCAGGCACAGAACUGUGGAAAAAUCAAUAGAUAUUGAUCAUAAGGUGCAGGUAAUAAUCGAUUAUUAGUAUUGGCUCUGAAGAGUACAUAUCCUGCAUCCCAAAUCACUCAUGUCUGGUCUUACCUGAAAUACACAGGUACACUUUAUCUUAUUUCAAGGGGUUUUAACAGCAUGCCUGCACUGCUUCCCUCUGCAUUUGACAAGUUUUCUUGCUAGAAACAAACCCAGUCAUCUUUUCAGUCGCAAAAUAUUAGUACAAAACAUCACUUUAUAUAUCUGAUGCAAACUCACAGCUUUUGCUUUAUUACAAUAACAGCAUUAACACUGUUAUUGCAUGAUCAGUUUCUCAGCAAGUUUGCAUUUAUUGUGUGGAUAUUUUCUAUGUCAUUAACUGUAUUUUGUUAUAUUUUUGACUGCAGUAUGAGUCCACAGAUGUUAUAUUUUAUUCAUUUUUUCCCAUGUUUGUUUUUGAUUCUAGACGUCAUUGAGAAAAGUCGUGAACUUGUGUUUCCCUUUGCUCUGCUUUUUGAGCCAAAGGAACGAAGAGUAAAAACAUGUAAUUAUGGCUGCCUUUUAACACCCAAACCAAACUAUAUUGUUAUCAUACAUUCCUGCAGAUGAAAAACAAAUCUGCGGUAGAAAUCUGUGAUAUUUAAGAUGUAACAUCUUUCAGUGUCUGAGCUCAAACACUGGGAUUAUGCCUGUUCUGUGCAGCAUAUACAGUGCUGGCUUUAUAACGUGUCCUCUACUUUGAGGUCACAUCUGUGGUUGCCAUGGAGAUGGAUCUCGUAGCUGCCAUACCUCAGAAUAAUUAAGUGAUUUCUGAGGGUUGUUACAUCCUUCCUGAGCUGUGUACAUCAUAGUUCAAUCAAUAGGCUGCUUCUACUCAUACAUCUGUGUUCGAUGUAAACGUGCUGUACUUGCAGCUGAGCUUGUAAUGAAUGAAUGUGUGUGGUUAUACAUGACAUUUAUAACUGAGUGCAUGCACAGCGAAUUGUAUGAGAACAGCUAAUGCUUUGCAUCACUCCAUCAUGCGUAUAUAAUAUCCAUUUUUUUGUGUGAUGUGUGUCUACAGCCUGACAGACACAGUUAAGGAUGGUUGGCUAGGCAGACCGUCAACAUGGAUGUGUACAUAUCUUUAUGUCCCAGGGGAGCCGCGCAGUUUUGCUGUUCUCACGGGAUGGGGUGUGACUGUGCAACUAUCCCAGGGGCAUCCCCAACACAGCCCAGGCUUAGAUAGUCUGACCCCUCUGUCUGACCCCAGCCAGGUCCUCCACUGGGCCCCACGAGCCCUGCCACUGCCGGCGUCUGUCUGUGCAAGCCCCCUCGGCAAGAUUCUUUCAGGUCUGGUUUGAAAAGUGGGAGAUGCUUCUGUUACCAAUACACUAACUUCUGAAGAGCGCAAUAUCAGACAAACGAUUCAGAAAGCCGCCAGGAUAGUCCAAACUUAAUCAACGUGAGCGAAGUCACAGACAUGUUGAACUGGGCUCUGCAUGCCAAAACUUGUAAACUCAUAUUGACUUCAAGUGUGUCCAAUCGAGCAAUUUCCUCCAACAACAAAAAACAAGUUUUUCCCCAACUGAGGGUCACAUCUGAGAUUGAAAUGAAAGAGCCAUAAGAUCUUUGGUGCCCCCUUUCAUAUCCCCCACCAUAUCAGGUCAACAUUAUAGCUGUUGGACACCAGAGUUGUGCAAGUCAACACUAAAAGUAAACUUGCUCAAUGCUCAGAUCACACUUUUUAAAAUGAACUAGUUAGUGUAUUUUCUAACAGCUAUAUAUUCAUUAUCCAUCAGCAGAGCCUCAGACUUUUAAAGGGAUAUUCCGGCUUAAAAUUCAUUUAGGGUCAAACACACCGUAACACCGAGUUAUACCCCCCCCCAACUUUAGUAAUGACCACACGAUAGCAAUACACAGCGGUCUAAGAAUCCAUACACAAACCUCAACCAAAACGCCGGUCUAUA
Molecule: non-coding RNA, 7464 nt
Organism: Xyrichtys novacula (pearly razorfish)
Lineage: Eukaryota; Metazoa; Chordata; Actinopteri; Labriformes; Labridae
Source: the annotation of a GenBank genome assembly